Molecule: long non-coding RNA, 1064 nt
Filed under: Mus musculus (house mouse)
Lineage: Eukaryota; Metazoa; Chordata; Mammalia; Rodentia; Muridae
Description: RIKEN cDNA 4833419O12 gene
Source: RNAcentral
CUCUGCACUGGGCUCAGGGCCUAGAAAGCCAUUCCUGCUAUACAGUUCAGAGGGAAGGAGGACAUUCCCAGGAAAGCUGGGUGCUUUCCUGUUGUAAUAUAAGCAACCGCACAGGACAUCAAGCUCAGACAAGGAGCUGUGCUAGAUCUAGACAAAAACAAGUCCAACCCUGCUAAGCCUCCUGGACUCCCCCUUCCUGAGACAUCCACAGUGCCCCGGGCUGUGUUCCCCUUCAUUGCAACAAGCAAUAAACCCAGGCUUCUUGGCAGAUGUUUACUUGGGUCUCUGUUCACCACCUCCUGCUACCCAUGGAGACCAGAAGAGGACUUUGGAUCCCUUGGAACUCAAGCGCCAACCAGUUGUGAGCUGCCAUGUGGACUUCCAGAAGACACUAGCCCUGGAAUCAGUCACUGAGAAAAGAGGAGGACCCAUAGCCACCAAUGCGGGCAGGUGUCAUCCAGUCCCUUGGGGCCCUAAUAAAACAAAAGGCAGAAGGAAGUCAAAUCCUCCCUUCAUGAGUUCAGACAAGCCUUGCUUUUAGACUCUGGAGUUCCUGGUUCUCAGGCCUUGGAACUUGAACCGAAUGCCAUUCCAGCUCGGGGCAGGUUCUAAAACCAUUUGAGCCCAUUCAGCUCCCUAAAGAAAACUUCAUAAAAGGCCAAGUCUACUAGAUGGAGUGACCAAUGUAGGGAACAACGGUGUGACCCUGAAGGAACCCGGGGACACACCCUAUCUUACAGCUCAGACAACCAUAUUGUUCCUCCCCAGUCUCCUCUUCCUCUCAACUGUAAACUUUUCCUCCACUGGUCCAUGUCUUCUAGCUAUUAAGCAGCAUUUGUAUCUCCCUUGUCUACCUUGUGUAUGUGACCUUUUAUCCACAUAAGCACAGGAUACUGAGCCAUGAGUCACAAGCGAGGUUAGUGACCAUUUUCUUAAGACCAGGAUGAAAUUGGUUGCCCACAGUGAUAAGGGAAAGGGCCUGUCAUUUCCCAAACACUGCCCAAGGGAACAAUUCCCCUGGAAUGUGUAAGCCCUGAACAAAUAAAUUUUGAAGAGCCUUUGUC